CCCGCAGACGAUAAUGAUUGUACCCAUCAGAGUAAGACCCAGUCUAUUUCCGUACCAGCAGCCGCUGCAACAGAGAAGCAGACUAGAGAUACUCUGAAUUACUGUAGUAAAGCUCAGCGUAGGCGGUCAAGUAGUCAGUGGUGAAUCUACAGGCUCACUCUCGGAAUCCGUUGCAGUGCAAGUCUCAGUCCGGAUAGAGGUGAGUGGAAUUCCUAGGUAGAGGUGAAAUUGGUAGAUAUUAGGAAGCACAGCAGUGGCGAAGGCGGCUCUCUGGUCACGGUACUGCAGCUGAGAGUGAAAAGCGUGGGGAGCAAUCAGGAUUAGAUACCGUGAUAGUGAGAAAGUAACACGAUGGAUGAAGGGAGAAAGCAAGACAGGUAUUCGGUAAGGCACAGGGUGCAAUCAGCAGAGCGCAUGAGGAAUACGGCAGCAAGAAUAAAACUCAAUGGAAAUGGUGCGGUCGGGCUCAAGCGGUUGAGCACGUGGUUUAAUUUGAAGCAACGCGAAGAGGGGGGCCAGCUCUUGACAUUCACUGAUCGUUUCCAGAGAUGGAUUCAUUCUAGCAAUAGGCAGGGGGACAGGUUCACCAGGUCUGUCGUCAGUUAUCGUCGGGAGAUGUGGAUAUAAGUAUUGCAACGAGCGCAAGACUUGACAUUAGUUGCCAUCAUUAAGUGAGCCAGUCUAGUGGGUCAGUGGGUGAUGAAGCGGAGGAAGGUGGGGAUGGCGUCAAGUCAUCAUGGCCCUUACGGGCUGAUUCACACACCAGUACAAUGGCGGUGACAGUGGGCAGAAAGCAGCAAUGAGCGCAAAUCAAUAAAAGCGAUUUCAGUUCGGCAUGGGGUCUGCCAGUCGUCCCCAUGAAGUCGGAAUCGUUAGUAAUCGUGCAUAAGCAUGGCGCGAUGACAACGUUACACGGGCAACAACACACCGCCCGUCACACCAAGGAGUUGGCUUUACCGUUAAGCGUGUCGGUAACCGCAAGGAGGCAGCAGGUCUCAUGUAAGGUCAGCGACGGGGGUGUAAGUGGUCAACAACGUAACUCGAAUCUCUGAAGAUCCGCGCGAUCUGUCC
This 1071-nucleotide ribosomal RNA is filed under the name uncultured bacterium. Its description in RNAcentral is "bacterial SSU rRNA". It matches the Rfam family "Bacterial small subunit ribosomal RNA", at positions 456 to 1533 of the family's 1533-position model. The record is from RNAcentral.